AUGACGUCAAAUCAUCAUGCCCCUUAUGACCUGGGCUACACACGUGCUACAAUGGUUGGUACAACGAGUUGCGAGUCGGUGACGGCGAGCUAAGUCUCUUAAAGCCCAAUACUCCAGUUCGGAUUGUAGGCUGCAACUCGCCUACAUGAAGUCGGAAUCGCUAAGUAAUCGGCGGAUCAGCACGCCGCGGUGAAUACGUUCCCGGGCCUU
Molecule: ribosomal RNA, 210 nt
Filed under: uncultured Streptococcus sp.
Lineage: Bacteria; Bacillati; Bacillota; Bacilli; Lactobacillales; Streptococcaceae
Description: partial 16S ribosomal RNA
Rfam family: Bacterial small subunit ribosomal RNA
Source: RNAcentral